UACGAAGGGUGCAAGCGUUACUCGGAAUUACUGGGCGUAAAGCGUGCGUAGGUGGUUCGUUAAGUCUGAUGUGAAAGCCCUGGGCUCAACCUGGGAAUGGCAUUGGAAACUGGCGACCUAGAGUGCGGUAGAGGGUAGUGGAAUUCCCGGUGUAGCAGUGAAAUGCGUAGAGAUCGGGAGGAACAUCUGUGGCGAAGGCGACCGCCUGGACCAGCACUGACACUGAGGCACGAAAGCGUGGGGAGCAAACAGG
Molecule: ribosomal RNA, 253 nt
Filed under: uncultured bacterium
Lineage: Bacteria
Description: partial 16S ribosomal RNA
Rfam family: Bacterial small subunit ribosomal RNA
Source: RNAcentral